Molecule: long non-coding RNA, 1663 nt
Organism: Helianthus annuus (common sunflower)
Lineage: Eukaryota; Viridiplantae; Streptophyta; Magnoliopsida; Asterales; Asteraceae
Exons: 2
Source: RefSeq, a predicted model, not a curated record
UGUGUGUGUUCGAACAGAGGAGAAGAAGAAAGGGGGAAACCCCUCUCAAACCCUAAUCAACGAAUGGGAUGGAUUAUGGCCGAAAUCGAACUUGCAUGAGCCUUAAAAGUGAUUAUCUAAGCAAGCUUUAGCCAAGAAUUGGAACCACACAAGCAUGGACCAAGCAUGGAAGGCAAACGGAUCAGGAUGAGGCAAGGAAGCGAUUACGAGCACUGAUGCGCAAGGUAAGUGACUUCCGAAUCACUUCUUAGUAUACAUAUAGAAUUUUCUUGUUUAUGGAUGUAGGUAAGUUAUUGUAUGAGUAUGAAAUGAAUGAAGGUAUUAAGAUAAGUAUUGAACUAGAUAGUCGAAGGUAGUUUGUGGGACCAAACGGGUCGAAUAAAUAAGAGUAAGUGAGAUAAUGGUAAUAAAAUUGGUAAUGAUUAAGGACCCGGGGUAAGGAUUCUUAGUCUAAUAUGUAAGGAAUUGUUUUACGGAUGUUUAGGAACAAGUUUCAAGUGAAACGGAUGCAAAACGAGCAAGUUAUGCAAAUUUUAGUUUUAAAAUGGAAGACUGAUCCGGGCUUCACCGUAGCUUACGGUGCCCACCGUAAGCUACGGUGGGAGCUGAGGCUUUAUUUCUGCCGUAAGGCAGUAUAAGGCUGCCGUAGGACUUUUGGGGGCCACCGUAAGCUACGGUAGCCACCGUAGCUUACGGUGGAGGUCAGGUGCAAAUGUAAAGUUUGUGGAUUUCUUUGUUUUUCCUUCGAAUUCGGAGCCCGUGGACCCAUUCCAAGCCUUGUUAAGUUUUUAUAAUGUUACUUAACCCUACCAAAUGGCUUGGUAAGUUACGGAUGAGUAUGAAACUCAUUUUUAAGAACCGAAACAUACCCGAUAGAUAUUUUUGAAAGCGUUUAAGAUGUGCGAAUAAAAUCGGGGUAUGCAAGCGAGUAUGCGGGGUAACGAAUUAAGUACGUGGGUAUGUAUGUAUGUAUGUAUGUAUGUAUGUAUGUAUGUAUGUAUGUAUGUAUGUAUGUAUGCAUGCAUGUAUUUAUGAAUAGAUUUCACUAGUGAAUGUAUGUACGUGUAUAGUUAUGUUUCGUUUUAAGUAUGGGUGUAAGUAUGUAGAUAUGUACAUAGGUAGGUAUAUAUGUAGGUAACGGUGUAGGUGCGUAUGCGGGUAGACAUACAUGGGUGUAAGUAUUAUGUAUUUAAGUGUGAAGGUGCAUACGCGUGUAGGUGUGAACGUAUAUAUGCGGGUGCUAGUAUGCAUGUAUAACCGUAUGCCAGAAGGUAAGUACCUAUGCUCAUAUGAUUUCAAUAUGAUUGUGUAUUAAUGCAAAUAACAGUGUACCUUGAGAAUGAAGAAUAAUGCAGGUACAAUGUUGAAGUCUCUCCGAAGAGUGGAUACUCGACGGAAAUGCCUAAGUAUAAAGGAAUAACGGAAUAGAAAGUAAAAGUGUAUAAAUCUUGUUACGUUCAUAUUGUGUACUAAUGUUUGAAAUUGUAUGGUAACUGUAGGUUGUACGAGUCACGGAGGAUCACUGAGGAGUGGAGAUCGAAUACCGAGUCACAAGUUAGAUUGUACGGGAAUACUUGAUUAUGUAAAAUGACAGUUAUAAGUUAUGCUUUUAUUUUGUAAGUAUGUACAAAAGAUACCUAUAUUGUAAGAAGGUAUUUUAUAA